AGAGUUAAACAGUACGUGAAAUUGUUGAAAGGGAAACGAUUGAAGUCAGUCGUACCAGCGGGAAAUCAACCUUUCGAGUGGGGUUUUGGAGUUUUGAAGUGUGUCAAAACCUUUGAGAUUUCAAAAUUUUCGCUCCUUUGGUGUACUUUCUCGCAGGUAGGUUAACAUCGAUUUUGAUCAUCAUAAAAGGAUUGGAGGAAUGUAGCUUCGAUCUCGUAUUGAAGUGUUAUAGCCUUUGGUAAAUGUGAUGAUUAGGAUCGAGGAUUGCAACGAAUACCCUUUUGGGCUAUCCGCCUGAUCUCUGAUACGUGGCCUUGGUAUCGAAAGCGUGCUUAUGGUAUUAAGGUAUUACGGUCAAAAGGUUAGAACGGAUUACAUUCGUUAAGGAUGUUGACGUAAUGGCUUUAAACGACC
Molecule: small RNA, 414 nt
Filed under: uncultured Glomeromycotina
Lineage: Eukaryota; Fungi; Glomeromycota
Description: eukaryotic LSU rRNA
Source: RNAcentral